This 274-nucleotide ribosomal RNA is filed under the name uncultured bacterium. RNAcentral's name for it is "partial 16S ribosomal RNA". It matches the Rfam family "Bacterial small subunit ribosomal RNA", at positions 523 to 796 of the family's 1533-position model. The record is from RNAcentral.
CUACGGAGGUUGCAAGCGUUAAUCGGAAUUACUGGGCGUAAAGCGCGCGUAGGCGGUUUGGUAAGUCGGAUGUGAAAGCCCCGGGCUCAACCUGGGAAUUGCAUUCGAUACUGCCAGACUAGAGUAUGGUAGAGGGAAGUGGAAUUCCGGGUGUAGCGGUGAAAUGCGUAGAUAUCCGGAGGAACACCAGUGGCGAAGGCGACUUCCUGGACCAAUACUGACGCUGAGGUGCGAAAGCGUGGGGAGCAAACAGGAUUAGAUACCCUAGUAGUCC